RNAcentral lists this unclassified non-coding RNA (457 nucleotides) under Neodendryphiella michoacanensis. RNAcentral's name for it is "sequence contains 18S rRNA gene, ITS1, 5.8S rRNA gene, ITS2". The stretch from base 101 to 254 matches the Rfam family "5.8S ribosomal RNA". The record is from RNAcentral. Lineage: Eukaryota; Fungi; Ascomycota; Dothideomycetes; Pleosporales; Dictyosporiaceae.
CCUUUAUUUUUCAUUCCUCGGUGGGGAAACCUGCCGCUGGAAUCAACCUUAAACUCUUGCAUUUAGCAUUUUAAUUUCUGAUAACCUAAUUAAUUAUUACAACUUUCAACAAUGGAUCUCUUGGUUCUGGCAUCGAUGAAGAACGCAGCGAAAUGCGAUAAGUAGUGUGAAUUGCAGACUUUAGUGAAUCAUCGAAUCUUUGAACGCACAUUGCGCCCCUUGGUAUUCCAUUGGGCAUGCCUGUUCGAGCGUCAUUUAAACCCUCAAGCUCUGCUUGGUGUUGGGCGUUUUGUCUACGGACUCGCCCCAAAUCUAUUGGCAGCAGCCUUACCGGCUUCUUGCGCAGUACAAUGCGCUUAGAGAAGCUUGUGUAGCGGUAUGCAACCCAGUAAGCAAUUCUUUAUUUUGACCUCGAAUCAGGUAGGGAUACCCGCUGAACUUAAGCAUAUCAAUAAGC